RNAcentral lists this ribosomal RNA (467 nucleotides) under uncultured bacterium. RNAcentral's name for it is "partial 16S ribosomal RNA". It matches the Rfam family "Bacterial small subunit ribosomal RNA", at positions 28 to 506 of the family's 1533-position model. The record is from RNAcentral.
GACGAACGCUGGCGGCGUGCUUAACACAUGCAAGUCGAACGGAAAGGCCCUGCUUUUGUGGGGUGCUCGAGUGGCGAACGGGUGAGUAACACGUGAGUAACCUGCCCUUGACUUUGGGAUAACUUCAGGAAACUGGGGCUAAUACCGGAUAGGAGCUCCUGCUGCAUGGUGGGGGUUGGAAAGUUUCGGCGGUUGGGGAUGGACUCGCGGCUUAUCAGCUUGUUGGUGGGGUAGUGGCUUACCAAGGCUUUGACGGGUAGCCGGCCUGAGAGGGUGACCGGCCACAUUGGGACUGAGAUACGGCCCAGACUCCUACGGGAGGCAGCAGUGGGGAAUAUUGCACAAUGGGCGGAAGCCUGAUGCAGCAACGCCGCGUGCGGGAUGACGGCCUUCGGGUUGUAAACCGCUUUCGCCUGUGACGAAGCGUGAGUGACAGUAAUGGGUAAAGAAGCACCGGCUAACUACGU